GGAAGUAAAAGUCUAACAAGGUUUCCGUCGGUGAACCAGCGGAAGGAUCAUUACAGAGAUCGUGCCCUUCGGGGUAGACCUCCCACCCUGUGUUAUUUACGUAUGUUGCUUUGGCGGGCCGCCUCCGGGCUCUCAGCUUCGGCCGAGGUGUGCCCGCCAGAGAACCCACAACCCUGUGUUUAGUGUCGUCUGAGUAUUAUCAAAUAAGUUAAAACUUUCAACAACGGAUCUCUUGGUUCUG
This 241-nucleotide unclassified non-coding RNA is filed under the name plant metagenome. RNAcentral describes it as "partial contains small subunit ribosomal RNA, internal transcribed spacer 1, and 5.8S ribosomal RNA". The stretch from base 1 to 53 matches the Rfam family "Eukaryotic small subunit ribosomal RNA", at positions 1778 to 1831 of the family's 1831-position model. The record is from RNAcentral.